UAGGGAAUCUUCGGCAAUGGACGAAAGUCUGACCGAGCAACGCCGCGUGAGUGAAGAAGGUUUUCGGAUCGUAAAACUCUGUUGUUAGAGAAGAACAAGGACGUUAGUAACUGAACGUCCCCUGACGGUAUCUAACCAGAAAGCCACGGCUAACUACGUGCCAGCAGCCGCGGUAAUACGUAGGUGGCAAGCGUUGUCCGGAUUUAUUGGGCGUAAAGCGAGCGCAGGCGGUUUCUUAAGUCUGAUGUGAAAGCCCCCGGCUCAACCGGGGAGGGUCAUUGGAAACUGGGAGACUUGAGUGCAGAAGAGGAGAGUGGAAUUCCAUGUGGAGCGGUGAAAUGCAUAGAUAUAUGGAGGAACACCAGUGGCGAAGGCGGCUCUCUGGUCUGUAACUGACGCUGAGGCUCGAAAGCGUGGGGAGCAAACAGG
RNAcentral lists this ribosomal RNA (429 nucleotides) under Chloroflexota bacterium. RNAcentral's name for it is "Chloroflexi bacterium partial 16S ribosomal RNA". It matches the Rfam family "Bacterial small subunit ribosomal RNA", at positions 355 to 776 of the family's 1533-position model. Lineage: Bacteria; Bacillati; Chloroflexota. The record is from RNAcentral.